GACGAACGCUGGCGGUGUGCUUAACACAUGCAAGUCGAACGGAAAGGCCCUGCUUUUGUGGGGUGCUCGAGUGGCGAACGGGUGAGUAACACGUGAGUAACCUGCCCUUGACUCUGGGAUAACUUCUGGAAACUGGGGCUAAUACCGGCUAGGAGCUCCUGCUGCAUGGUGGGGGUUGGAAAGUUUCGGCGGUUGGGGAUGGACUCGCGGCUUAUCAGCUUGUUGGUGGGGUAGUGGCUUACCAAGGCUUUGACGGGUAGCCGGCCUGAGAGGGUGACCGGCCACAUUGGGACUGAGAUACGGCCCAGACGCCUACGGGAGGCAGCAGUGGGGAAUAUUGCACAAUGGGCGGAAGCCUGAUGCAGCAACGCCGCGGGCGGGAUGACGGCCUUCGGGUUGUAAACCGCUUUCGCCUGUGACGAAGCGUGAGUGACGGUAAUGGGUAAAGAAGCACCGGCUAACUACGUG
RNAcentral lists this ribosomal RNA (468 nucleotides) under uncultured bacterium. RNAcentral's name for it is "partial 16S ribosomal RNA". It matches the Rfam family "Bacterial small subunit ribosomal RNA", at positions 28 to 507 of the family's 1533-position model. The record is from RNAcentral.